ACAACAAGAUGCUUAAAGAACGGAAGCAUGAAACUGCGGGCAUUGCAUUGCAUGGCAGUGCAAGCGAGCUAGCAAUAAUGAUGCCAACACGUUUGUGUCGCUAUCUCACACUGCUUUAUCCGAAUAGGCGAAUUCGCCGCAUACAAUAAGCAAAACAAACUACUACUCUCCAGCGAAUCGCAGCGAAUGUUUAUUUGUUGCACACAACGACUUUUGGGUGGGUGGUUGGAGCGGAGAGCAAGACUCAAAUGAGUAGCAUUUCGCAAUGGUCGCUCCACAUGGCGAUCCCAGCACCGAGAAGAAAAGAGAGAGCGCUCUUGUUUUGGUUUUUAUGCUUGCCGCAAGAAAUCAUAUUCUACUCAGAGAGGGCGAGAGAGAGAGAGAGUGAGAGCUUGCCAAGCGAAUUGAAUGCCAUGCUUUCCGGCAUCGCUAGUUGUCAGUUUGGUUCCGACCGUUACAACGUGAAGUUAAGCGCACGGUGAUUUUUGUGCGUCGUUUUGUCGUCGUCGCCGUCGUUGUUUACAGUUGUUUUGUUACACAGCGCGUCGUCAUUAACGUCGUUUCUUUUUUGUGGUCGUACCACAUAAAAUUCUGCUACUUGGGGCAAAGUGCCGUUAAAGGCUCGAAAGGCGGCAAAUUAAAAGCAAACAAAAUUCCAUUUUGUUUGGGUUUUUUGGGGCAAGAGAUUAAAAGUCAACAAACGCGUCAGCUUAUCCGAAACUGAGCUUCAAUAUUAAAGCAGCAACAACAACACAACAGCAGCAGAAGAAAUGCGAGCAAAAACAAAGCGCGCUAAAUGUGAGAACAAAGCGUUAUAAAAGACGCGGGCGGUUGUUCGUCACUGUUGCUCUCGCAGCUUAGGCUUGUCCACCAGCCUAUUGUUGUUGUUGUACUACUGCACACGUCGGAAAUGAUUACGUUGGUUAUAUGGAAGAGAUGUGGGAAGUGGGGACAAGGCAAGGCGGUUAGCGGCAUUUGAGUCUUCGUCUCCGUCUUCGUCAUAGUCAUCGUCAUCAACUCAUGUUGCAUAUGGGUCUCAUGUGUGCUGCAUGAUACGGUUGGAUUUUUACCCCAACUGUUUGCCAAGCGGCGAAAAUGGUUGAGCUCACUUCUCUCUCGUUUCUUACUCUGUCUCUCUCUCUCUCUGAGUGCGCUGAAAUGUGGUUAUCCUGGUGAGAGCGAGUUUGUAUGAGUUUUUCGGCGAACUUGCAACUUUUGCGCUGCUCUUCGCUUUGGGCAGCGCUUCAGCGCUCCUGCGAUUUCAGUUGACAAAAGUUCCUUGCGCUGUACGGACCUUCAAUUCUUGACGUUUGUCGUAAUUGCUGUCGUAAUAUCGUCACGCGCUGUUACUUUGGUCGAGCCGUCUUUGUGUACGUGCGAGUGAAAGAGUGACUCAAGUAUAUAUGUAUUUUAGUAUAUAAAUCAUAUCGGAUUUAUUGAGGAAGAAAAUGUGCUUAACUUAAAUUAAAUUAGUGAGCAAAUAU
Long non-coding RNA from Drosophila mojavensis, 1484 nucleotides. RefSeq lists it as uncharacterized. The transcript is spliced from 3 exons. Lineage: Eukaryota; Metazoa; Arthropoda; Insecta; Diptera; Drosophilidae. The record is from RefSeq and is a predicted model, not a curated record.